UUGAUUAUUUCUUAGUGCUUCAGAAGACGCGUUUCAGAAAGAGUUUUGGGGGGUGCUUUCGGCAGGCCUUGUAGGCGCCCCGCCCUGGGGCGGCCUGCCGAGGCAACAGGUAAUUCAAGAACACAAUGGGUUUGGAGUCUUGCAACUCAGUAAUGAUCCCUCCGCUGGUUCACCAACGGAGA
This 182-nucleotide unclassified non-coding RNA is filed under the name uncultured fungus. Its description in RNAcentral is "sequence contains ITS1". Lineage: Eukaryota; Fungi. The record is from RNAcentral.